AGGUGGAUGUCGUAUGUUGUGAUGGAAGAUGCAGUGCCCAUGGAGUGAAUGCAGAGUACCAAAAGUUCUUUGCUGCAUGUUGUGACAGAGGAUGUAGGGCUCUGGAGUGGGAUGCAGUGAGCCAGCAGUGAUUGCAGUACAGCUUCAGUGCCACUUCAGCUGGAUGCAGUGUCCCUGCAGUUGUUGCAAUGCCCCCGGCAUUGGCCUGGAAUGUGGGUGCAGUGCUCAUGCAGUGGAUGCAGUGUCCCACAAUGUGGAGGCAUUGUGGUGUGUUGUAGUAUGCAUUGCUGAUGAAGGUGAAUGCAGUGAUCCUGCAGUGAUGGCAGUGCGCCUGCAGUGCCACUUCAGCUGGAUUAAGUGAUGCUGCAGUGGUUUCAGUGCCCCCUACAAUUCCAGAAUGUGGAUGCAG
This 409-nucleotide long non-coding RNA is filed under the name Equus caballus (horse). RNAcentral's name for it is "lncRNA (ENSECAG00000046418.1)". The record is from RNAcentral. Lineage: Eukaryota; Metazoa; Chordata; Mammalia; Perissodactyla; Equidae.